GACGAACGCUGGCGGCGUGCUUAACACAUGCAAGUCGAACGGUGAUCCUCUUCGGAGGGGAUCAGUGGCGAACGGGUGAGUAACACGUGGGCAACCUGCCCCCGGCUCUGGGAUAACUCCAAGAAAUUGGGGCUAAUACCGGAUGUUCACCGCUUCCCGCAUGGGUGGUGGUGGAAAGGGUUUCCGGCUGGGGAUGGGCCCGCGGCCUAUCAGCUUGUUGGUGGGGUAGUGGCCUACCAAGGCGACGACGGGUAGCCGGCCUGAGAGGGUGACCGGCCACACUGGGACUGAGACACGGCCCAGACUCCUACGGGAGGCAGCAGUGGGGAAUAUUGCGCAAUGGGCGGAAGCCUGACGCAGCGACGCCGCGUGGGGGAUGACGGCCUUCGGGUUGUAAACCUCUUUCAGCAGGGACGAAGCGCAAGUGACGGUACCUGCAGAAGAAGCACCGGCCAACUACGUG
RNAcentral lists this ribosomal RNA (463 nucleotides) under uncultured bacterium. RNAcentral's name for it is "partial 16S ribosomal RNA". It matches the Rfam family "Bacterial small subunit ribosomal RNA", at positions 28 to 507 of the family's 1533-position model. The record is from RNAcentral.